This 492-nucleotide ribosomal RNA is filed under the name uncultured bacterium. RNAcentral's name for it is "partial 16S ribosomal RNA". It matches the Rfam family "Bacterial small subunit ribosomal RNA", at positions 29 to 507 of the family's 1533-position model. The record is from RNAcentral.
AGUGAACGCUGGCGGUAGGCCUAACACAUGCAAGUCGAACGGCAGCACAGUAAGAGCUUGCUCUUACGGGUGGCGAGUGGCGGACGGGUGAGGAAUACAUCGGAAUCUACUUUUUCGUGGGGGAUAACGUAGGGAAACUUACGCUAAUACCGCAUACGACCUACGGGUGAAAGCAGUGGAUCUUCGGACCUUGCGCGAUUGAAUGAGCCGAUGUCGGAUUAGCUAGUUGGCGGGGUAAAGGCCCACCAAGGCGACGAUCCGUAGCUGGUCUGAGAGGAUGGUCGGCCACACUGGAACUGAGCCACGGUCCAGGCUCCUACGGGAGGCAGCAGUGGGGAAUAUUGGACAAUGGGCGCAAGCCUGAUCCAGCCAUACCGCGUGGGUGAAGAAGGCCUUCGGGUUGUGAAGCCCUUUUGUUGGGAAAGAAAAGCAGCAGGUUAAUACCCCGCUGUUCUGACGGUACCCAAAGAAUAAGCACCGGCUAACUUCGUG